Molecule: non-coding RNA, 444 nt
Organism: Plectropomus leopardus (leopard coralgrouper)
Lineage: Eukaryota; Metazoa; Chordata; Actinopteri; Perciformes; Serranidae
Source: RefSeq, a predicted model, not a curated record
AGCAGCAACGUUGCAACAACUGUACGUGUGAAAUCAAAAAGCAUGACACACGCUGCAGCUGGGCGAGGCUGAAGUCGUUUUUUGUAGAGGUAAAGAAACGUAACGUUUUGGCCUCUUCUGACACGCAAAGAUGGCCACAGCCCUGACUCUCCUUUCAAUAAGCUGUCUGCUGCAAGGUGCCCUGUGUGGAGAGUUCAGAACAUUUAUGCCGAAGACUAUUGAGGUUCUCAGUGGAUCAUGUGUGACCAUCCCCUGCUCCUUUGACAUUGAUGACAAAUAUAAAACAAACUUAGAUAACACAUGUAAAGCAAUAUGGAAAAAUAAAGAAAACACUGUUGUGUUUGACAGCAGCAAUCCUCAACAAACUCCAAUAAAAGGAAAUUUCACAGGAGACUUAAAACAAAAAGACUGCACCACAACCCUGAACAACAUGAAACCUGCUGA